This is a long non-coding RNA of Lagopus leucura (white-tailed ptarmigan), 3272 nucleotides long. RefSeq lists it as uncharacterized. NCBI's taxonomy places the organism in Eukaryota, Metazoa, Chordata, Aves, Galliformes, Phasianidae. The transcript has 3 exons. The record is from RefSeq and is a predicted model, not a curated record.
UUUCCUUGUCCUGGAAAGGGUGAUUUUAUCCAAUAUCUUCAAAGGGGAGUGAGCCACGUGACUGUAGGGAAGCAGUCCAACCGACUCAUGAGGCGCUCAGCAGAGGGAGAUGAGGCACGUGAUUUCUUGUUGACAUGAAGAGUCUGUCUUUUGUUUUCCCACACUGUUGGAGGAUGGUAGCAAAAACAUUAAUGGAUGUGGAUCAGCAACAUCACUCACAGAUGGGAGAGGAGGAAGAAUAUCCUGCCCUUCACUAUUGAAGUUUAAUACCAACUUGCUGACCAGUCCAUGGCACUCAUAUUCCUGUCAGCAGAUGUGGAUUUUCCAGCAGCAAAUAAGCCACUAAUGUACAAAGUCCUUCUCAGUAUGAUGUAACACUUGACCAACCCAAGCCAAAAAAUGAAGUCAACUCAUGCAAGUUAAAGUAUCACAUCAGGCCAAAGAGCUUUGUCUUUCUGUCAUCCAGCAAGGACUGUGUAUGGGGGACUCUUCUGUGUAUGUGUUACAAACUAUUGUUGGUCACUUUAACAGAGUAAGAAACCAGAAACAUCAUGGAGGUCAAGUACGAAGUGCUGCAAGCCUUCAAAUGCAGAGGUCAAGCAUACAAUGAAAACAAAGCAAAGUUGUAAUGCUAGUUGCAAGCUGCAUAGAUAAUCAAUAUCAGAAUGUGAUUCCUUUUAAUCAAGAGUUAUUUUAGAUGGCAUCAGAGGAAAAACAACAACAACAACAACAAAAAAAAACCACCAAAAACAAAAACAAAAAAACCUGUAAAUUUGCUAGUUGGAAGUUGAAAUCUGUAGCUGGUAGCAGGCUCCCAGGAAAGAAGUAGAUUGCAUGCAGUAAGAGUAAUGUUCAGCAACAAGUUCACAGCAGUUAGCUCACCAGGGAGAUAAAAGUUCAUACUAAGGUAAUUCUUGUGAGUUCUUUUAUAUGCUCAAAGAAGAACAAGGAUAUUGAAGUGCCCUAUCUGGAGGAUUCUCUCCAUGACACAGCAUUCAUGAAUGAUAGCUCCCAACAGCUAUCCUAGGGCUAGCAAGAUGGAAAGGUAACUAUUUCCCAGAACUUGAAUGGUUUUCCCCCCGAAAAAGUAUUUGAGCAACUGUUCUUUUGCAUAAAACUGUCCUCAGCUGAGGUGAGGUGGGUUACUGUUGUAGCAGUAUGUGUGUAUAUACAGUUUUUUUACCUAAGUUUUUUGACAUCUCUGAGUUGCCUCUUGCAGCCUCAGCCCAUCCUUUGCUGCAGGCAGGGUGCUGGGUGAGCCAUUGGGCUGCAGUGUGCAGUCACUCUGUUUUUUCCUGUUCACUGUGGAUGCUGUCGGUUGGCACGUGGAGGCUCUCUGUUGAUGAAUGAGUGCAGUGAAGCAGAUGGGAUGGAAACAGAGAUGUUCUUGACAUUCAAUCAGAUUGUAAUGAGCAGUUUUUUUUGUUGCCAAUGGGCUGAAACAUGCCCAUUUCUUAAAAGCUGUUCUUUUUUUCGCUGAUGCGACCCCAAGUGACAGCUCCCUCUCCUGAGAUUUCCUCCGACUUGAUUUAUGGAGUCUGAAUUCCAGCUGCAUGCUACUUGGGGCACAGACUGUGUGAUGUUCCAUGUGAGGUGCCCAGACAAAACGACAGCUUUAAAAUAUCAUAAAGCAGCCCCAAAAAGACUUGUCAGAGCUGGAGGGGACAGAUCCAUUGCUUGCAGGCAAGGGGAAAUGAAGAAAUGCAGGAGUUUUGUGCUGUAGGAAAAUCUCCAGCUAAACUGUUUUCUCCCAUGUAUGAUUGCCUACUCUGAGCCUAUUCAAGGAGUCUUUGGGAAAAUACCUAAGAGGAUUUUUCCUUUCAGAUUAAGUGAUUUCUGGAUGAUUUUACCCACAGCACAUCAGCAGGGGGUGAAUUUAGCUGCACUUUGCCUGCACCAGUGAAAGAGAGUCUCAUUCUUUUCAAAAUCAUCCACUAAAUUAAGACAUGAACGUACAUUACACUGAACCUAUUUAGCUUAUUAAAGGCUCCUCUCUCAGAUCAUUUCCUUCUGUGUGUGUCUUUACAUCACAGGCUCUUCUGUUUAUAAUUUCCAAAUUUAGGGAAAAAAAAGAUCUUUUAAAGGAGUUACCCUCAGCAUUCAGCAGUCAGAAACUGUAUGUACAGUAGUCAGCCUGAAAUAGAAAGAUGAAAGACCUCGCUGUGCUCAGUUAAUGCAGUAAAGAUCACUCUUUAGCUCAAAUAUAGUAUGAGGUGAGUGCCACAAUUAACAAGGAGUAAGAACCAAAAUGCAAUGUCAAUUUCUGUUUUGUUGUGUUGAAUGAAUUACUAGGAUCUUCAUGCUCUGGAACUUUGGCUAGGAUCCUUCUACUCUCCCGAGGAAAAUAAAAUGUUUGCUAAUGAAUAGAGUGAUGCAAGAAAUCUGCAAAGCAAUACUGAAAGGAUGCUGCACUGAAGGAAAACAAGGAAGCUACAAAAGCUACAGGAAACUCAUUUUUUGAGGACAAAAUGGAAAAACAUUCUACAGGAAUGUUUUCCUUGUUGGCCUGCAAGCCAAUUUGAGUGAUUUGGGUAUGGGAAGCUGUGGGGUGGGCAGGUAACAUGGGCCAUGAGUGCUCUUUUUCUUCACCUGUCUAUAGAUAUCGAGCUUUUCUGCUGUUAUGGGGCUGAGAUUCCCAAAUACUUUCAUUGAGAUUUUGUGCUGCUCAAACCUAUUCUGGUCAGAAAGACAUUGCCACCUCCACUGCAGAGCCCAGAACUCCACUUAAGAUAUCAUGAUAUAAAGUUUAUAAUCUGCAGAUAGUCCAGAAAUUAGGCCCCUUCCAGCAGUUCCCAUUGAUGUGAUGAGAAAGUGUGACUUGUUUUGCAUUCCUUAAGCACCUGCUUUACAUUCGUUGGGUAGAAUUUAAAAAGAGCUCUCCAGGCCUAUAAAUGAUGAUGGGUGUCAAACAGCCUUGCUAGCACCCUGCCUACCUGCAGUGUGAAGUGGAGCCUUCCUAAUCCUGCUCCCAGCUCCUCACCUGCAGCAGCGUGUAUGGAACAGGAGAGCCAGGAGCUGGGCUCCUAUUGCAGCUGCAGAGAAAGGGCUUUGCCCUGGACGUCAUCUGCAGCACUUUGUAUUUAGGGACCUUGCUUUAACUUUUUACUUGUUUUUCCUUUCUUUUUUUCCCCCCCUUUUUUUUUCCCAGCUACACUCCUGUCAAAUCCCAGUUUCCAUAUGAAGGUUUGCACCAAGUUGAGUGAAAGCAAUUAGGUAAUCUGUUUGUAACAAAAUACUUUUCUUUUGCUUUAGUAAACUUAGUGCUUCCCUGU